GAUAUCUUCUGUCUCGGGUAUGCUGUUGUCAUCGUGGACUACUUCAGCAAGUGGCCUGAGGCCAAAGCCAUUCCAAUGAAAGAAGCGAUUUAUGUUGCAGAACUCUUGUAUGAACUGUUCAUGAGACAUGGAAUUCCCAAAGUUAUAAUUUCCGGCCAAGGCAGAGAAUUCUGCAAUGCAGUUUGUGACAUGCUACUGGAAAGGACAGGUGUCGAACAUUGAAUGACGAGUGCUUACUACCCACAGACCAAUGGACUAACAGAGAGAUUCAAUCAAACUCUUAAAAAUGGUAUUAGUCAGAUGAUCCACAGUUCUGAUAACGAAUGGGUCCUAGCAAUUCCUGCUAUCCUUUUUUCGUAUGGUAUAGCUGUUCAUUCAUCAACAAACUUUACACCCUUCAUGCUCUUUAAUAAUCGUGAGGCACAUUUGCCAUUGGACAUGAAGGUAGAAAAAUCAGCUGAGAUUGGAGUGUCAAGUCAAACACAGGAAGAACUCAAACAUCAUGUAGAAUUACUAGUAAACAUCAGGCAGUCAUAUGCUAGUAUUGCCAAGAAGAAUAUUGCCAAGGCACAACAACGCCACAAAGACAGUUAUGACAGGCGACACAACACCUCUUCCACAGGAAUACAACUAAAUGAUAAAGUUCUUUUAAAAAAACAGCAAACACGAUAGUCGUAAAGGAGGGAAACUAGAGGUCAGAUGGACUGGGCCAUAUAGCAUAAUCGAGUGUCGAGGCAAAGGAUGCUUCAAGCUGAGAAAUACAGAUGGUCACCAGGUGUCACUGUGAAGCAGACAGUACAUGCUUGUCGCCUCAAAAUGUACCACCAGCUAUGGAACACAGGCGAUUCUCCUCCAUCCAAACUGUCCAGGCAAAGCAAUGAUGAGAGCAACAAUGAGUUUUGAACACUUGUAGACACAUGUCAGUGAAAAUGUCAAUACUGGUUUUCUUCUACCUUCCCCACCACCAACAUUUGUGCCUGAUGACAUUCCACUGCCUCCGCCACCUUAUGAGUUAAGCUCAAUACUGAUGAAGAUAGUGCAGGUGCAGAGGUAUACCUCAAUGCUCAUAGUAAACCACUUGUGAUCUUCAGACUUGCUAAAUGUGGGUUUUAGUAAAGGAGUCGAUCACUCCCUUACUGGGUGACAAAGCAAAUCCUGAUUUGAAUAGAACUGAAGUGACUUGGAAGCUGUGCCAGUUUAUCAGACACGAGUGAAACCUCAUCAGAAGUAUAAGUCUGGCAUGGGCACAGCUUCAUAUCAAAAGAAAAUGAACAAGCAAUGUCAGAUAAAGACCAAGGUCACUAGGGAAGUGCCAGAGCCCGUUGUCAUUUCCGACAAUAAUGAUGACAUUCAGGCAGUUGGUGACAUCCAGCCAUUGGGGCUAUCUAGCCAUGAUCUUCAGAUCCUAGAAAAGAACAGUGGAACAGCAGCAUGGUUGAACGAUCAACUGAUCAAUGCUGGUCAACAGCUGAUUCAAAAGCAGUUCCCAUCUGUUGGUGGUCUUCAACAUCCUAUUUUGUCGGAAACACUGACAUUUGACAUACAAAAAGGUCCUUUUGUACAAAUUGUUAACUGCUCUAGAAAUCACUGGAUAUGUUUGUCGUCGUUUGGGUGUCCCUCAAACAAUGUCAGUAUUUUUGACAGCCUUCAUUCAUCAUGUCCUAAGUUAGGAAAGGAUGUUGAGGAGAUCGUCGCUUCUAUUCUUUUCACUGAAUCUGCGUCAAUCAAUUUUAUGCUUCCUCAAGUACAACGACAAAGGACAGGAAUUAACUGUGGGCUGUUGCCUUAGCAUUUGCUUAUUCUAUCUGUUGUGGCCAAGAUCCCGAAGCCAUCCUAUUUCAAGAGGAUCUGAUGAGAAAGCACUUGUUAAGCCGUAUUAGAGAGGAAGAGAUGAAACCUUUCCCUUCUACAAAGAGAAUGACACAUCUUUGCCAUAGAGUAGUGGAAGGUUUUAUCAAAGUGUUCUGACUGCCUGACACGGGAGACAGAAUGCUACAGUGUGACAAAUGUGAAGAAUGGUACCAUUUUACUUGCAUACAGAGAGCUUAUGACAUGUCAACAAAGAAAACCUGGCACUGUCAGUGUGUUCUGGAAAUGAAACCAUUUCAGUGAAGUCCUUAUCUGUUUUGCUGGGACUCCCUAAUUCUGCAUGUUGCAUAUGAUGUUACAGUUACCUAUUAAUGUUUUAUGGCAAUAUAUAUGUGUAAUGAUCCGA
Molecule: long non-coding RNA, 2215 nt
Organism: Corticium candelabrum
Lineage: Eukaryota; Metazoa; Porifera; Homoscleromorpha; Homosclerophorida; Plakinidae
Exons: 5
Source: RefSeq, a predicted model, not a curated record